GAUGAACGCUGGCGGCGUGCCUAAUACAUGCAAGUAGAACGCUGAAGCUUGGUGCUUGCACCGAGCGGAUGAGUUGCGAACGGGUGAGUAACGCGUAGGUAACCUGCCUCUUAGCGGGGGAUAACUAUUGGAAACGAUAGCUAAUACCGCAUAAAAGUCGAUAUCGCAUGAUAUUGAUUUGAAAGGUGCAAAUGCAUCACUAAGAGAUGGACCUGCGUUGUAUUAGCUAGUUGGUGAGGUAACGGCUCACCAAGGCGACGAUACAUAGCCGACCUGAGAGGGGGAUGGGCCACACUGGGACUGAGACACGGCACAGACGCCUACGGGAGGCAGCAGUAGGGAAUCUUCGGCAAUGGGGGCAACCCUGACCGAGCAACGCCGCGUGAGUGAAGAAGGUUUUCGGAUCGUAAAGCUCUGUUGUAAGAGAAGAACGAGUGUGAGAGUGGAAAGUUCACACUGUGACGGUAACUUACCAGAAAGGGACGGCUAACUACGUG
Molecule: ribosomal RNA, 497 nt
Filed under: uncultured bacterium
Lineage: Bacteria
Description: partial 16S ribosomal RNA
Rfam family: Bacterial small subunit ribosomal RNA
Source: RNAcentral